Molecule: long non-coding RNA, 1218 nt
Organism: Cervus elaphus (red deer)
Lineage: Eukaryota; Metazoa; Chordata; Mammalia; Artiodactyla; Cervidae
Exons: 5
Source: RefSeq, a predicted model, not a curated record
CAAGCUGUUGAGCAGACUCGCUUCUACACGAACUCCUAUUGGCUGCUCAUGACGCCGAAGAGUUUCGGAUUGGAGUUCGCUACCUGCCGUCCUCAUUGGAUGUAGCUCUGAAACUUCACGGAUUGGUGCGAAAAACAGCAGAGGUGGCCGCAGCUGUAUCGCAUUUUAUGUUUCUGGCGAGAGGAGAGCGGAAUCUUUAUCCCGUGAAUUCAUUUAACUGCGGCAGCCACCCGGCGAUUCCUCCAGGACAGCACCCAAUGAAGGUCGGAAGAGUCUGGAUCUCUCAGAAAGCAGUUGGUCUGAAGAAAACAGAACAGCUCAGUGACAGACAUCUGCAAGUAUUCCUGAGAGGGAGCCUCACUCUGGAAAAAUGAAGAAAGGUGUUCCAGUUUUUAAAAGACCUGGAUCUGCUAUCUGUUGAUAAAUUUCUGAUUCCCUUGUGAAUGAUAGAAAUGAAAGUGAAUGGAUAGUCUUAUCAGAUAAGUAUGUUUUAAGUCUAAAUAUAUUUGAUUUUUUUCCAUAAGAUGGCUCUACUAGUACUUAUCUUUAUUUGAAACAGUUUUGUUACAUUGUAUCAUGACAGCUGGCAUAUCAGCAUGCACUUCAAAAAAUGUUAUAAAAAUGGGUGAAUUUUUGUGUAGCUAUAUUAAUACUGAAGAUGGAAGAAGAAAAACAUUUUCUGCAUAUUGUGCCUUUUUAUAUCAAGGAAGGUAAAAAUGCUACUGAAACACAAAGAUUUGUGCAGUGUAUGGAGAUAGUGCUGUGACUGAUUGAAAAUCUUGCAAGUGGUUUGCAAAGUUUCAUACUGGAAAUUUCUCACUGGAUGAUGCUCCCACUUAAACCAGCUAAAACUUGAUGAAAAGUGUCUGUAAUUAGUCAAUAGAAAACGCAUAGUCUUCCAUCAGGAUAACACAAGACUGAAUGUUUGAUGACCAGGCAAAAACUGUCUCAGCUUGGCUGGCAAGUUGAUUCAUCUUCCGUAUUCUCCAGACAGUAAGCCUUCAGAUUUACAUUUAGUUUGAUCUUUAAAAAAUUAUCUUAAUGGAAAAAAUUGCAAUUUCCUGGAAGACUGUAAAAGGCACCUGAACAGUUCUUUGCUCAAAAAGAUAAAAAGUUUUGCUAAGUUGGAAUUAAAAAGUUGCCUAAAAAAAUGUCAGAAGGUAGUGGAAUAAAACAGUGACUACAUUCUUCAAUAAAGUUAUUGGUAAAAAUGAAAAA